UACGUAGGUGGCAAGCGUUAUCCGGAAUUAUUGGGCGUAAAGCGCGCGCAGGCGGUCCUUUAAGUCUGAUGUGAAAGCCCACGGCUCAACCGUGGAGGGUCAUUGGAAACUGGGGGACUUGAGUGCAGAAGAGGAGAGCGGAAUUCCACGUGUAGCGGUGAAAUGCGUAGAGAUGUGGAGGAACACCAGUGGCGAAGGCGGCUCUCUAGUCUGUAACUGACGCUGAGGCGCGAAAGCGUGGGGAGCGAACAGG
This 253-nucleotide ribosomal RNA is filed under the name uncultured bacterium. RNAcentral describes it as "partial 16S ribosomal RNA". It matches the Rfam family "Bacterial small subunit ribosomal RNA", at positions 524 to 776 of the family's 1533-position model. The record is from RNAcentral.